Molecule: ribosomal RNA, 788 nt
Filed under: uncultured gamma proteobacterium TIHP302-34
Lineage: Bacteria; Pseudomonadati; Pseudomonadota; Gammaproteobacteria
Description: bacterial SSU rRNA
Rfam family: Bacterial small subunit ribosomal RNA
Source: RNAcentral
AACACAUGCAAGUCGAGCGGUAGCACAGGGGAGCUUGCUCCUUGGGUGACGAGCGGCGGACGGGUGAGUAAUGUCUGGGAAACUGCCUGAUGGAGGGGGAUAACUACUGGAAACGGUAUCUAAUACCGCAUAACGUCGCAAGACCAAAGAGGGGGACCUUCGGGCCUCUUGCCAUCAGAUGUGCCCAGAUGGGAUUAGCUAGUAGGUGGGGUAAUGGCUCACCUAGGCGACGAUCCCUAGCUGGUCUGAGAGGAUGACCAGCCACACUGGAACUGAGACACGGUCCAGACUUUUACGGGAGGCAGCAGUGGGGAAUAUUGCACAAUGGGCGCAAGCCUGAUGCAGCCAUGCCGCGUGUGUUAAGAAGGCCUUCGGGUUGUAAAGCACUUUCAGCGAUUAGGAAGGUGGUGAGCUUAAUACGCUCAUCAAUUGACGUUACUCGCAGAAGAAGCACCGGCUAACUCCGUGCCAGCAGCCGCGGUAAUACGGAGGGUGCAAGCGUUAAUCGGAAUUACUGGGCGUAAAGCGCACGCAGGCGGUUUGUUAAGUCAGAUGUGAAAUCCCCGGGCUCAACCUGGGAACUGCAUUUGAAACUGGCAAGCUAGAGUCUCGUAGAGGGGGGUAGAAUUCCAGGUGUAGCGGUGAAAUGCGUAGAGAUCUGGAGGAAUACCGGUGGCGAAGGCGGCCCCCUGGACGAAGACUGACGCUCAGGUGCGAAAGCGUGGGGAGCAAACAGGGUUAGAUACCCUGGUAGUCCACGCUGUAAACGAUGUCGAUUUGGAGGUUGU